RNAcentral lists this ribosomal RNA (795 nucleotides) under Machaerina complanata. RNAcentral's name for it is "eukaryotic LSU rRNA". The stretch from base 326 to 480 matches the Rfam family "5.8S ribosomal RNA". Lineage: Eukaryota; Viridiplantae; Streptophyta; Magnoliopsida; Poales; Cyperaceae. The record is from RNAcentral.
GGCGGUUCGCCGCCCGUGACGUCGCGAGAAGUCCACUGAACCUUAUCAUUUAGAGGAAGGAGAAGUCGUAACAAGGUUUCCGUAGGUGAACCUGCGGAAGGAUCAUUGUCGUAUGCUUCCGAAAACACGACCGUUGCGCACGUGAUCGAACGCUGCCGGGGUGGCGCUGCCGCCUCGGCCCACCGGCCCGGCCCUCGCGCCCUCGGGCCGCGUUGGCCGUGUGCCGAAUACGGCGCGGGUUGACGCCAAGGAACACGAGACGCUGAGGCGGCUGGCGGAGCGCUGAGGCGCACGGCCCGCUGCCGAUGCAAAGGAAAAACUUGAUGACUCUCGGCAACGGAUAUCUCGGCUCUCGCAUCGAUGAAGAACGUAGCGAAAUGCGAUACGUGGUGUGAAUUGCAGAAUCCCGCGAACCAUCGAGUCUUUGAACGCAAGUUGCGCCCGAGGGACCCGCCCGAGGGCACGCCUGCCUGGGCGUUAGAAGCCCAUCCACGCUCGUGCGCCCAGCCCCGUCCCCGGCGGCGGGCUCUGGCACGAUGCGGAUAUUGGCCCUCCGUGUCUAUAGGCGCGGUGGGCCCAAGUACGUGGCCGUCGGGUCGGGCUCAUCCGCGGGAGCGGCGAGUGGUGGGCAUUUCUGCGCGCGCCGCCCCGUGCCCCCCGCCGGCUGAUGCAGCGCAGCGCGCUGCCGACCCCCGAGCGAGGAGCCGACCGACGCAGCGUCACGCUGCGCGGCGCCUUCGGACCGAUACCCCAGGUCAGGCGGGGCUACCCGCCGAGUUUAAGCAUAUAAAUAAG